This 490-nucleotide ribosomal RNA is filed under the name Parnassius bremeri. Its description in RNAcentral is "partial 16S ribosomal RNA". The record is from RNAcentral. Lineage: Eukaryota; Metazoa; Arthropoda; Insecta; Lepidoptera; Papilionidae.
UUUUGAUUAAUAAUUUAAAGUCUAAUCUGCCCCCUGAUAAUAUAUUAAAGGGCUGCAGUAUUUUGACUGUACAAAGGUAGCAUAAUCAUUAGUCUCUUAAUUGGUGACUUGUAUGAAGGAUUUGAUGAAAUAUAAACUGUCUCUUUUUGAUUUAUAAAAUUUAAUUUUUUAGUUAAAAAGCUAAAAUUUAUUUAAAAGACGAGAAGACCCUAUAGAGUUUUAUAUUUAUAUAAAUUAAAAUUUUUUAUAAGAUUUAAAAUUUCAAUUUAUAUAAAUAUUUUAUUGGGGUGAUAGAAAAAUUAAAAUAACUUUUUUUAUAAUUUUACAUUAAUAAAUGAAUAAAUGAUCCGUAAUUUACGAUUAUAAGAUAAAAUUACCUUAGGGAUAACAGCGUAAUUUUUUUUUUUAGUUCAAAUAAGAAAAAAAGUUUGCGACCUCGAUGUUGGAUUAAGAUAAAAUUUAAAUGCAAAAGUUUAAAAUUUUUGAUCUG